AUUUGCUGAGUUGAAUUAGAAUAAUUCGUUUUUUAUUCCCUUUUCAGUUUCAGCCCUUUUAAAAAAAUUUAACCCAUAAUCCGGAAACAAAAGCAAACCGGUUUUCCUCUUGACAAUUCACCCACUUCAUUUCCCAUCAAAUCAUUGUCAUUUCCCCCCAAAUAUGUAACGCGAGAGGAAGAUCUGUAGUUCUUCAUUUCACCCAAAAUCGCAAGCAAGAGGAAAACCGCCCGUUUCUUCAUCGCCGACAUCUGGAUCACUGCCCAGCGCGCACCAUUGGAUGUAGCCCACCGAAACCGAACGUGGAAAUAGUAUUUGAAGACGGCAGUGGAAUCGUAGAUGAUGGACAAAGACAUUGAGUAAAAGGCAGGAUUGAAGUCAUGAAAGAAUUGGUUCGUGCGAAACCUGAUGCAGCUUGAGUGAUCGUGGGUCAAGGACAGACCAUUGUGCAUUUGUGUGUGAAGUACUAUCAGAUUCGGGCCUUCAAGAUCUUAGUGUAAAAACUCCUAAAACUGUUGUUACAUGCUAAUUGAUUUCGAACACUUUUCGCGGUCGGAGUUUGUCUUGUUGGAACUAAAAUCGAGUUUUGUUCACGUGACUUGGCCCUGGGAAAUGUUUAUAUAAAUUUUGAUUUGGACUUCUGAUUUUAAUGCAAAACAGGUACCAACAUUGUUUUUUU
Molecule: long non-coding RNA, 679 nt
Organism: Olea europaea var. sylvestris
Lineage: Eukaryota; Viridiplantae; Streptophyta; Magnoliopsida; Lamiales; Oleaceae
Exons: 2
Source: RefSeq, a predicted model, not a curated record